Molecule: long non-coding RNA, 3006 nt
Organism: Lolium perenne
Lineage: Eukaryota; Viridiplantae; Streptophyta; Magnoliopsida; Poales; Poaceae
Source: RefSeq, a predicted model, not a curated record
UCCGCGCAGGGAAUCCAAAUUCAGAUCUAAUCGUACCGGCAUGAGAAACCAAAGCCAUCGUGAGCUCCCAUAAAAAUUCCUAACCCUCUCCCCAAAUCAAGAUAAGUCCGACGGAUCUGAUCUCCCCCAAAACUUCAGCACAAUAAAUCUCCGGCUCGAGGAUGUACCACCAUGGCCAUGGGGAAGAUAUCAAUCAUCAGCGUCAGUGCGGAAGAGAGAGGAUGUGGAUUGGAAACCUGAGCGCGCGGACCCCUACGGGCCUCCGGCCAGCUUGCCUGGGCAUGCCGCGUGUACGUCUGGUCGCGCAUCUGGUACUGCCAAGUUCUAGAGGAAGAGGGCGCACAGGAACCUGCCCCGGGUCCGUCGGCAGGCUCGUAUGAGGAGACGGCGGCGGCAGCCGGCGAGCUGCGCAGCAGGAGGCGGAAGAGAGCCUACGUAAACGGCCUACUCUGCGUCCCAGUUCCCUUCUCAGCUCCCUACCAGGACGCCCUGAGCAGCACUAUCCACCGCCCCGAGCAGGACCUAAAGUGCCGCCCAACAGCGCCGGCCCGACUUCCCUUCUCUGCUGCCUGGCUCAAGAUGCAUAUCUAGAUCCACGUCUCCCUGCUACAAGGCGCUGCCCCUCGCUUCCCCAAAGAGCUGCCCUCCCCCUGAGCUUUUUUCUCCUCGUUAACAGAAGAGCACCGGACGGCGGGACGACCUCCACUUCAACCGCUACCUCUCCACCACAAAGAAAUUAUAGGUCGGCGUAGACCUGGUGGCGCGGCUGGUCGGGGUAACUGGGCCCAAGGGGAGGAAUCUGGAGCUUUUUAUAUAAAGCUUGGUGUUCCAUUUUUUUUCGGUGAGUUCAUUCCAACUGGAAUGUCAGCAGAAUUUGUCAAAGCGCAUUCCCAAAGAAUUCUUCAGUUUAGAGUGUAUGCUCUCCAGUAGAGCUGAUGUCAACAGCCUAUGUUCUAGAAAUGCAUCCAUAUCGCUUGUAUUCCUGAACGAGGAAAGAAAUUUUAUCCUGAAGUUUGAUGAGGACAUGCCUACAAGAAUCCAUUCUCUUGUGGAAAAUCUUGAUGCUGGUAUAUGGAUUCAAGUUCCUUCCAAAGAACUAUCCUGCUCCGAGCAGCCUUUGUUGCCCACAUUCAUCAUGAGCAAAAUAUCAAAAUGCAACUUAAUUGCUGAAGAUCUGUACUGUAUGGAUGGGCUGGAGGCAGUUUUUUGUAUCACUGAUGGGUUAAGUUCAAUCGUCAAAGAAAGUACAAUGUAUGCAAUGCCUGGCAGUUUUUAGAAUGUAGAAGUUCCAAUGAGGAGAGCGUUGAAUCUAAUGAGCCUACCAAUAUCACUAUUUUUGCCAUGGAUUUGAUGUUUCUCUUUGGUCACUCGAAAGAAAGAUUUACCAUUGGAGAAGGUUGCCACUGCAAACCUUGAGGUUGGUGUUUCUGCGGUAAUGAUUGGUGGAAAUCCCGAGCGUGUUGACAUGGAUAUUGUCUCAUUAGCUCUGCAAUCAUCUGGUGGGCCAUCUUCUCCUGUUCUAAUUAAGUAGAGAUGAGGUAUUAAUAUCUAUACCUCUUUUCGAGACCUUGUUAUAUUUGGUUGAUUCGGAUAUUUUCAUUCCUACAUAAGAAAGGAAGAUAACAGUCUGGAUGCGGGGCAUCCAGCAGCUUUGCCUCAUUUUUCAGACUCUGCAACGUCAUCAUUUCUUGCAUCAGAUUUUAGUUCGCAAGACAACUCUUACUUUGUGGUAACAUGUGAAAAUAUCGCUGUUGUCCUUCAUGUACUUAUCUGGGAGAAAAAACAAAAUCAGACAAACAAUUAUACAUGGAUUGAUGGGAGUUCUGGUUCUAAUUCAAUGCAAUGAUACUCAAUGCAUUGAACCAAGAGAUUGCAAGUUUAUCACCUUUACUAUUGAGAGUAAACAUUUGGUGGUCAUGUUCGGUGAAAGUUAGGUGAAAUUCAAAUGUGAUUAAGAUAGAGGAGAAGUAAUACUGGAGAUGAUUCAAGUGAACAAGGGUGCCUCUGUUCCGUUCAUGCAUAUCUCUACGAUUAAAGUUUGUGGUUAGAUUGAUCAAUCGGAUUUGAAAUCACUAUGCCUUUCCGUUGAUCUACAAGUAGAAUAUAUGGAUGUUAGUUUUUCGCACCAAAUAUUUAGUUUCUAGCAUAGCAUGGAACUCAGAUUUCCUAAAUCGUCAUCAUCAGCUUCUUCAUUUUGUUCUGUGAUCUUCAAGGCGGGGUUAAUAAAAGGUUCUCUCCUGCUAAAUGAUGCAAGGGUAUGUUAUGCUGCAAGGCCCCCGAGGACCAAUUACGGCACGGCAACCGAGUGUUUUGAGUCUGCUUCCUACUAAAGAGCUAUACAAUCAGGUUCAGGUAAUAUGUAUUGGUAUGAUAAGAUUGCUGCUUUUGAAGCAUAAGAUCAAGAUGAGUAAAAGAGAGAAUUAUACAGGUAAGCAAACAAAAUGACAUAUCAGGAGAGAUAUAUGUGCACUUUGGAGUAGAUGUACCUAUAAAUAUGGCUUAGAAAGAAAACUAUAAGCGCCUUGAGUAAAUCUGGAUGAUCACUAAUUGGGACUCAGAAAAUGGAUGAUGCAAUUCAUUUUUUCAUUGCAGCUCAUGUUCUACGCAAUCUAUGUGGGCCAUACGGCCAGGGCCUCAUCUGCAGAGGCGGAGUAGGCGGUUACAUCCUUGUGUGGAGCAAGGCGAAGUGGACGAGCGAGCGCGCCCUGACUUCGUGGCAGGUGGCCAGAAGCUGUUGCUGGAACUAGAGGUGAGCGAGGAGGCGCACGACCUCGCUGGCAAUAGUGGAGUCAUCGGACAUCGCAGUGGCGGUGAGGUUGGGGCAUGGGGGAGAAUUUUGGAUGACCAACAUUACCAGCGACAUGAGGAAGAGCAUGAUUGAGGACAUAUUUCGAUGGUCUCUUCCAAAGUCGAAGGGACUAUUACAUUUCAUAUUGUGCGAUGUAAACUUCAUACAACAACCUGUUUCAAUCUUCUGGUUGAAUAGAAGGGUCUCAUUUAAGUACA